Molecule: transfer RNA, 84 nt
Filed under: Acidobacteriota bacterium
Lineage: Bacteria; Pseudomonadati; Acidobacteriota
Also listed under: 2 other names
Description: Acidobacteria bacterium tRNA-Ser
Rfam family: tRNA
About the family: Transfer RNA (tRNA) molecules are approximately 80 nucleotides in length. Their secondary structure includes four short double-helical elements and three loops (D, anti-codon, and T loops). Further hydrogen bonds mediate the characteristic L-shaped molecular structure. tRNAs have two regions of fundamental functional importance: the anti-codon, which is responsible for specific mRNA codon recognition, and the 3' end, to which the tRNAs corresponding amino acid is attached (by aminoacyl-tRNA synthetases). tRNAs cope with the degeneracy of the genetic code in two manners: having more than one tRNA (with a specific anti-codon) for a particular amino acid; and 'wobble' base-pairing, i.e. permitting non-standard base-pairing at the 3rd anti-codon position.
Source: RNAcentral
GGAGGCGUCGCCUAAUGGUAUGGCAGCGGUUUGCUAAAUCGCCGCGCAUUGCGUGUGCAGGUUCAAGUCCUGCCGCCUCCGCCA